Molecule: non-coding RNA, 426 nt
Organism: Paramuricea clavata
Lineage: Eukaryota; Metazoa; Cnidaria; Anthozoa; Malacalcyonacea; Plexauridae
Source: the annotation of a GenBank genome assembly
UGCAAAUAAUUAGUUCUGGCAAAAUGUAUUGCUUUGAAUCCCUUGUCUGUAGCUCAACAGUAAAUGCAUGCAGUGCCAGUCAAAUGGUCAUGAAAGUGGACACCUUUUUCAAACAGAUUUUUCUUCCCGUGUGAGGAAACCGUAGUACCCAGAGAAAACCUACAACAUUUGGUUCAGGGUUGACUCAUUUCAAUAAUCCAACACCAAUAUUGCAAAGAGAAAUUAGAUUUUUAACUUUCACUUCACUAAAAUAUUUGAGCUGUUUCCUUUGCUAUCUGGAUAUUUAUAGAAAACCAGUCAUCGGAGAAACAUACUCUGACAUCAUGAAAUGUGCAACUAUUUGGCAAUUCCCAUUACUUGCUGGUCAUUGCCACAGUACCAGUUUAAAUACAUGUAAUAAUGGUACAUACAUGCUGAUAAUUUUGG